Long non-coding RNA from Hevea brasiliensis (rubber tree), 855 nucleotides. RefSeq lists it as uncharacterized. The transcript is spliced from 2 exons. The record is from RefSeq and is a predicted model, not a curated record. NCBI's taxonomy places the organism in Eukaryota, Viridiplantae, Streptophyta, Magnoliopsida, Malpighiales, Euphorbiaceae.
UUAUUUAUCAAAUCAAAAUCAAAAAUAAUUCACUUGAUAACUGCAAAUUUUUUAAUUUUUAAUAGAAAACGAAAAUUUUUAAAAUUAUUAAAAAUCGAACCAAACCGAACUCUGUCUUAUCAACAUCCGAAUUUGCAUGCCCCUGAUCCCUGGCCAUCCAUCCCACCCCACUGGGGCGGUCGAGCCACCCGACAGCAAGAGAAACUAGGGAUUCGUGACUGGUAACUGGCACUUCUGGUCAACCCUAGAUGGCAAUUUUUGAAAUUCUCAUUUUUCGCUCCUAAACAAUGAUGGAUUUCCACUUCCAAAUGCGUUUUCUCUUUGUAAAAUUUUCUUAGCAACCAAACAGAUCCUAUUAUAGUUAAAUACUUAAAAAGCUCAGAAUAACAUCAGUACAUCGCGCAAGCCUUGGAUUGGCCUCGGAUUUCUAUGUAAUUUAGUCGGAUUCUUGUUUUGAUGUUCCUGUGAAGUUAGUAUUUAUGGGCUAAAGAGCUUUGUAUCAAUCAGGACGCAUCAUCGCUGAAGGAUUAAGUGACUCUAUUGGAGAGGCAUUUGAACUAAUUUAUGAGUCCUCGAUUGGUCAUUCAAUCAUAGCGUCUGUCAGAAUAAGCGAGCAUGAUGAUUUUUGGGAUUUCAGAUCAAGGUAUCAGUGUGGUUCUAGACAACAACAGUGUUCGGAUUAAAUCAUCUCAAUGAGAAUGAUUUUAUCUCGUAGGUAAUGCUUGUAUCUAAUUUUGAUUGUUGAAAGUUUGAUGGAGAAAAUUUGUGUUGUUAAUAUAACUUUUUUGAAUACUCUGCUAUUAUUAUUAUUUUUUUAACUGAAUCCAUUAGGAUUGAAUGUUUGUUUUGGUGCUA